Neofelis nebulosa (Clouded leopard) is the source of this 3936-nucleotide long non-coding RNA. RefSeq lists it as uncharacterized. The record is from RefSeq and is a predicted model, not a curated record. The transcript is spliced from 4 exons. NCBI's taxonomy places the organism in Eukaryota, Metazoa, Chordata, Mammalia, Carnivora, Felidae.
AAAAAAGAAAGAAAAUUGAAUAGAUGGACCAGUGAAGAGACUGAUACAACUGAAAUUACUUUGUUUUCCCCUAAAGUCAGACUAUCAAACGCUUUAUAGUAAUAAACUAAGCAGGCGGAAAGACUUGUGUUCCUGAAGAGCGAGGUUGGCUGGGUUGGCAGGGCUUAGUGUAACAGCUCCAUUCUCCACUAGAUGGCGCUGCCAUUCUACUGGGGUGGAUUGUUUCGGUGCGCAUAGGUGUGUAUGCGCAUGCGUGGGAGAGGUGAGCUUGGCAAGAAUGGCGUCACCCAGGUACUGAGUCUCUAGUAUCGUUGCUCUGUUCUUCCCGAUCAGCAACUUUGCCCCCGUCCUCUGUCUUCAGCUUUCGUCCACUCCCCGCUUCUUCACUGUCCCCAGGCAGCACUUCCCUCCUGAGUUUUGUCUCAGAUGUGACUGUUUUUCCCAACCCCUUACUUCUGACGGACUACGGCUUUGACCUGUUCCGCCCCUCUGCGGGAGGGUCUCACCAAGCAAUGGCCGGGUGCCGGCUGCAGCCAGGAACAUUCACUGGCCGUGCUGCUGCCGACGCCCAGAGACUGCAGCCGGGUGCCAGCCCGCCCCGGAAAAAGUUUGCGAGACAGCGUAGCAGCAGCGCCUCAGGGAUUAUGGAAAAUCACAACACGCAUCUGGCACCAGGCUUCACCCCCAGCGAUCUUGUUCCAGCACCAGUGAAUGCAGUUAUUCUCCUGGGUCUACCGGGGCCUUGCCUUGGGGGGGCUGCACAGCCUCUACCAGGUGUCCUCCCAGCAGGGGAACUACCUCUCCCCGUGUGGCCUGAAGAACUCCGGACUCCACUCUGCUCCUCAGGAUUUGCCCUUCUGACCAGAGCACCGCCAGGCUGCCUCCUUUGAAGAUCUGAUUCACUGAAGAGUGAACUAUACUCAUGAAAAAGUGGUCCAAAUGGGUGAUGUUGACAGAAGACAAGCUACUCUAAAUUUCAUGUGCACAAGGUUCAGCAAAAUGGAAUUGCAAAGUGACAAAGGAGAAGCACCACUCUCAGGGGCCCAGGAACCCCAGAAAUAGUAAGAGAAUGUUGGCCCCUGUAUGAAUACUAUGAAACAGAUAAGAAACAAGAUGAUCAGUCUUCAUUACUACUACAACAUACCCAGGGUGCAGGAACCCGGAGCUACCAAGAUUUCAGUGAUAUGGACAAACAUUGAGCUUUCAAGAAGGCAGGAAUGUCCUUUUUAGCCAAGAGGAAUCAUCCCAGGAAUGGUAACCAGAUGUUUUUUUGACCUAAAGCAUGGGGGGAAAAUAGCAUUUUAGCCAGAUUUUUAUCAACCAACUUUAGAGUAGAAAAAUAAACAAUAGGUAUUUCUAAAAGUUAUGUGUAUUUCCAAGGGAUGUUAUAGCUUUUAGAAAAUGUAUCUUGGUAAAUGACUAAGAAGUAUCAUUAAUAAUAAUAAAACCACUAUAAAUCAAGUGAGGUAAUAUGCUAAGUUAUUUGCAUCAAUUAUCUUGUUUAAAUUAUCAUGUUAAAAAUACUGUGAGGUGUUUCCACAGAUAAGAAAACUCAGUCUCAAAAAGGUAAAUAAUGUGCUGAGGUUACCCAGCUAGUGAAAAGUUACACUGCCUUUAUAAUAAGUUGCAAUACAUUUCACACUUGCUUGGGGGAAAAGAUGAAUGUAUUAUUUCAUGAAUGUGAGCAGUCCAAUGGCAGCUACACCCUCAGUAUGGCAAAGAUGUCAUUGGGAUUCAGUCUGUUUUCUCUAUCCCUUGAUCAUUUUUCCUCUCUGUGUUCUUCAUUCUCAGACAAUAUUCCUACAUGAUAGCAAAAAAAGUCGCUAGCAUACUAGGCUAUAUCUGUGGAGUUAGGCAUUACAUACUCUCAGAGAUGCAAAGAAAUAAAAGUAUGUUGCAUGUAUCGCUACUCUGGUUUUGUUCUGAAGUUUCCAUUAAUGCUAAAGGUGGCGCCUCUUCCCACCACCUAUUAAACAUAAUACAGUCUUUAGUCAAUGACAUUACAAUAGUGUUGUAUGGUGACAGAUGGUGGCUACACUUGUGGUGAGCAUAGCAUAAUGUAUAGAGAUGUUGAAUCACUAUGUUGUACACCUGAAACUAAUGUUAACAUUGUGUGUCAACUAUAUUCAAUUAACAAAACAAAACACAGUCUCUGCCACUUUACACUAGACUAUUUUAGAGCAUCUCAAGAUGUUUCAGAAAACACGCAAUCACAUAUGAGAUUCAAACAAUUCUCUCUGCUCAGAAAUUGGCCCAUCUAUUUUCUCUUACCCUAAAUGGUGACUGGUUAUAGGAAAAGCUCAUGAACCCUUAUGGAGAGUGGUGGCUGGUUUACAUGCUAUCUUCAUUGGUCUUGGCAUGUUCCUUGUCUGCUUGACCAAGGCUGUUGGCUCUCAAUUCCCAAGACUGUUGGCUGUCUCACUCACCAUAGUUUACUCCACAUUAUACAGAGUCUGGGGGUAUAAACACGUGCAGUCUUGGGUCAACUCCCUUUUACCAGAGAUGUUCUUCCAUCGUGCUACUUCCUGUUCCAUCUUGUUCCAGUGUUGGUUCGAAGCACUGUGUGAAUCAGUCUCUUCCACCAAUCUGAAAUAGGAGGCAGGAUGCAAGUCCUCCCUGUUUUGGAUUUUCCUCUCAAACUUCAUAUUUUCAUCUUAUAAUUUUAAUUUUAUUUUAUUUUUAUGAUGUUCAUUUUAAGAGACAGAGCGGGAGGGCCAGAGAGAAGGACAGAGAGAAUCCCAAGCAGGCUCUACACCGUCAGUGUGGAGCCUGACAUGGAGCUCUAACUAGCCAACUCGCAAAGUGUGAGAUCAUGACCUGAGAGGAAAUGAAGAGUCAGAUGCUUAACUGGCUGAGCCACCCAGGCGUCCAUCUCCUGCCUUUCUCAGAUGAAUUUCUUAUAUGUUUCCUUUCCAGUGGAACAGAAUGUGUAAUGCAGCAAAGAAAGUAACCACAUUAGGAAGAAAGGAACAUCAUCAACACUGUAGUGAAGAAGAUUCCUCUCUUUUGACGGCUUUUAGUAAAGUCAUGAGCAUGACUCAUGGUGAUACCAUGUAGGUUCUAUGUCUAUUUUAAACCCAUCAUUAUGGAAAGGAAAUGGAACACCUUAAUUGGCCAAGCCUGAGUUAAAUGUUAAUGUUAAAGAGGUAGUAGAAAUGAGAUACAGUUCAUCCAAACUGGAUAGAAUAUCAGAGAAGAGAGUUUAGAAAGAAGGAAGAGAUUUAUAAUAAGCUAUGCACAGUUAUGCUUAGUGUGCAUUAUGGAUACAGUGGAAUGACUAGUUUUACAAUUAAUUUACAUUAAUUUCCUUCUACAUACUUGGAAAACCCAAGGUAUAGAAACAUAUAAAACAAGAUACUUUUAUCUACCUCCCUCCCUUCCUCCCUCUCUCUCUCUCUCUUUCAUCUAUCUACACUUUUAUUUAUCCCAGCAACUUGGCCUUUAUUAUCCUAAGGAAAUAAAAUCCUCAGCCUUAAAAGAAAGUUAAAAAAAAAAAAAAGAUAAUCCAGUACUUCUGAGUAUCCAAAGUCUUGGGUUCCAAUAAUAGAUUUCACUUUAUGAGAUUUUUUUUUUCCAACUUAUACAUUAACUUUUCAGUCUAAUUCCCAAGUAAAUUAUCCCCUCCACAUCAUAUACCCUCCAAUAUAUAUGCAUAUAUAAGUGGCCAUUUUUCUGUGUUCGAAGCCUCAUAAUCAAGAAAUGAGUUAAAACAUCUAUCCUAACCAGGUUCCUGGGUGGCUCAGUCUGUUAAGCUUUCCACUUCAGCUCAGGUGAUGAUCUAACAGUUCAGUUGGUGGGUUCAAGUCUCACAUCGGGCUAUGCACUGACAGCGUAAAACCUGUUUCACAUCUGUGUCUCCCUCUCUCUCUGCCCCUCUCAUGUGCACUCUCUCUCUUAAAACUAAAUAAACAUUAAAAAAACAAAAAAAUCUACCCU